AGAGUUUGAUCAUGGCUCAGGACGAACGCUGGCGGCAUGCCUAACACAUGCAAGUCGAGCGAGUUGAUCCCUUCGGGGUGAAGCUAGCGGCGGACGGGUGAGUAACACGUGGGCAACCUGCCUCAUAGAGGGGAAUAGCCUCCCGAAAGGGAGAUUAAUACCGCAUAAGAUUGUAGCUUCGCAUGAAGUAGCAAUUAAAGGAGCAAUCCGCUAUGAGAUGGGCCCGCGGCGCAUUAGCUAGUUGGUGAGGUAACGGCUCACCAAGGCGACGAUGCGUAGCCGACCUGAGAGGGUGAUCGGCCACAUUGGGACUGUUUCACGGCCCAGACUCCUACGGGAGGCAGCAGUGGGGAAUAUUGCACAAUGGGGGAAACCCUGAUGCAGCAAUGCUGCGUGAGUGAUGACGGCCUUCGGGUUGUUUUGCUCUGUCUUCAGGGACGAUAAUGACGGUACCUGAGGAGGAAGCCAUGGCUAACUACGUGCCAGCAGCCGCGGUAAUACGUAGGUGGCAAGCGUUGUCCGGAUUUACUGGGCGUAAAGGGAGCGUAGGCGGAUUUUUAAGUGAGAUGUGAGAUACCCAGGCUUAACUUGGGUGCUGCAUUUCAAACUGGAAGUCUAGAGUGCAGGAGAGGAGAAGGGGAUUCCUAGUGUAGCGGUGAAAUGCGUAGAGAUUAGGAAGAACACCAGUGGCGAAAGGCGCUUCUCUGGACUGUAACUGACGCUGAGGCUCGAAAGCGUGGGGAGCAAACAGGAUUAGAUACCCUGCUAGUCCACGCCGUAAACGAUGAAUACUAGGUGUAGGGGUUGUCAUGACCUCUGUGCCGCCGCUAACGCAUUAAGUAUUCCGCCUGGGGAGUACGGUCGCAAGAUUAAAACUCAAAGGAAUUGACGG
RNAcentral lists this ribosomal RNA (892 nucleotides) under uncultured bacterium. Its description in RNAcentral is "bacterial SSU rRNA". It matches the Rfam family "Bacterial small subunit ribosomal RNA", at positions 8 to 916 of the family's 1533-position model. The record is from RNAcentral.